UCCCUGAUAGCUCAGUUGGUAAAGAAUCUGCCUGCAAUGCAGGAGACCCAGGUUUGAUUCCAGGGUUGGGAU
RNAcentral lists this transfer RNA (72 nucleotides) under Bos taurus (domestic cattle). It matches the Rfam family "tRNA". Rfam says of the family: Transfer RNA (tRNA) molecules are approximately 80 nucleotides in length. Their secondary structure includes four short double-helical elements and three loops (D, anti-codon, and T loops). RNAcentral also lists the same sequence under 4 other names. Lineage: Eukaryota; Metazoa; Chordata; Mammalia; Artiodactyla; Bovidae. The record is from Rfam by way of RNAcentral.